CCUACGGGAGGCAGCAGUGGGGAAUAUUGCACAAUGGGCGCAAGCCUGAUGCAGCGACGCCGCGUGAGGGAUGACGGCCUUCGGGUUGUAAACCUCUUUCAGUAGGGAAGAAGCGAAAGUGACGGUACCUGCAGAAGAAGCGCCGGCUAACUACGUGCCAGCAGCCGCGGUAAUACGUAGGGCGCAAGCGUUAUCCGGAAUUAUUGGGCGUAAAGAGCUCGUAGGCGGUUUGUCGCGUCUGCCGUGAAAGUCCGGGGCUCAACUCCGGAUCUGCGGUGGGUACGGGCAGACUAGAGUGAUGUAGGGGAGACUGGAAUUCCUGGUGUAGCGGUGAAAUGCGCAGAUAUCAGGAGGAACACCGAUGGCGAAGGCAGGUCUCUGGGCAUUAACUGACGCUGAGGAGCGAAAGCAUGGGGAGCGAACAGGAUUAGAUACCCUGGUAGUCCAUGCCGUAAACGUUGGGCACUAGGUGUGGGGGACAUUCCACGUUUUCCGCGCCGUAGCUAACGCAUUAAGUGCCCCGCCUGGGGGAGGUACGGCCGCGAGACGUAAACUACGAAGAAGUAGACGGCGUGAGACGUCGCCGACGGACGACGACGAGGGAGAGG
This 608-nucleotide ribosomal RNA is filed under the name uncultured bacterium. RNAcentral describes it as "bacterial SSU rRNA". The stretch from base 1 to 525 matches the Rfam family "Bacterial small subunit ribosomal RNA", at positions 338 to 873 of the family's 1533-position model. The record is from RNAcentral.